AGCCGAAGGAUCGACCAGCCGCCUGGAC
This 28-nucleotide non-coding RNA is filed under the name Bombyx mori (domestic silkworm). The record is from RNAcentral. Lineage: Eukaryota; Metazoa; Arthropoda; Insecta; Lepidoptera; Bombycidae.